This 443-nucleotide ribosomal RNA is filed under the name uncultured bacterium. RNAcentral describes it as "partial 16S ribosomal RNA". It matches the Rfam family "Bacterial small subunit ribosomal RNA", at positions 338 to 795 of the family's 1533-position model. The record is from RNAcentral.
CCUACGGGAGGCAGCAGUGGGGGAUAUUGGACAAUGGGGGGAACCCUGAUCCAGCGACGCCGCGUGAGUGAAGAAGUAUUUCGGUAUGUAAAGCUCUGUCAGCAGGGAAGAAAGAAAUGACGGUACCUGACCAAGAAGCCCCGGCUAACUACGUGCCAGCAGCCGCGGUAAUACGUAGGGGGCAAGCGUUAUCCGGAAUUACUGGGUGUAAAGGGAGCGUAGACGGUUAAGUAAGUCUGGAGUGAAAGGCCGGGGCCCAACCCCGGGACUGCUCUGGAAACUAUUGAACUUGAGUGCAGGAGAGGCAGGCGGAAUUCCUGGUGUAGCGGUGAAAUGCGUAGAUAUCAGGAGGAACACCGGCGGCGAAGGCGGCCUGCUGGACUGAAACUGACGUUGAGGCUCGAAAGCGUGGGGAGCAAACAGGAUUAGAUACCCGAGUAGUC